AAGCGCGUCUCUCGUCCAUUUUAUUUCUGGAUUUCGAGCUGAAAGCAUCAUUCUCUUUUUUUGUGUGUUAACAUUUUUUUUUUUUUUAAACAAUGUAUUUUCUAAAAAGUAAUAAUAUUUUUAUAAAAACCAGUGAUUUAAUUAAACAGCAGUGUUUUAUUUUGAAAAAUAAUUUAUUUAGUUUUAAAAAAGAAAAUUUAAGAAUCUAUUGAUUUGCUUUCUUUAACCACGUGUAAGGUAAUUCGCAAGGAUGUCCCCAUUUCUAUUGAAGAUAAACUUAAAAGAAUCUUACGCAAAAUGGAAGUCUAGAAGAAAAUGAAGAGAAUUUUCAUGAAGAAUAAAAGGUAGCUGAUAUGGAGUUUAAAAUUCCUUAACUACGAUCCAAAUAUCAAGGAAUAUCGAAGUUUAACGAAAAAGAUUUGUUGAGUCAAAUAGCAAAUCAUUCAUGAAAGUCCAAAAAACAGAAAAUGAUUGUUCUCUAGCUGUGGAAAAUAUUUUUCAAUUCAAAUGGCAAUAAACAAGCUCAACAUUUAUACUCAAGGGAAGGAAUAUUUCUUUUUCAAACUGGGAAGAAUAUUCUAAAUUAAUUUUUUCUGAUAAAUUUAUGGAUAUCCAUGUUCGCCAUUUUGUAAAAUACUUGUGAAAAAUUUUAUAUUGUACUUUCGUAACAAUUAUGAGAAAUGAUUUACGAAUUACAUAUUUCUAUAAUAAAUUAAUUCUUGAUAAA
Molecule: long non-coding RNA, 727 nt
Organism: Leptopilina boulardi
Lineage: Eukaryota; Metazoa; Arthropoda; Insecta; Hymenoptera; Figitidae
Exons: 8
Source: RefSeq, a predicted model, not a curated record